CCUACGGGAGGCAGCAGUAGGGAAUCUUCCACAAUGGACGAAAGUCUGAUGGAGCAACGCCGCGUGAGUGAAGAAGGGUUUCGGCUCGUAAAGCUCUGUUGGUAGUGAAGAAAGAUAGAGGUAGUAACUGGCCUUUAUUUGACGGUAAUUACUUAGAAAGUCACGGCUAACUACGUGCCAGCAGCCGCGGGAAUACGUAGGUGGCAAGCGUUGUUCGGAUUUAUUGGGCGUAAAGCGAGUGCAGGCGGUUUGAUAAGUCUGAUGUGAAAGCCUUCGGCUCAACCGUGAAAUUGCAUAAGAAAAUGGUAAACUUGAGUGCAGAAGAGGAGAGUGGAACUCCAUGUGGAGGGGUGGAAUGCGUAGAUAUAUGGAAGAACACCAGUGGCGAAGGCGGCUCUCUGGUCUGCAACUGACGCUGAGGCUCGAAAGCAUGGGUAGCGAACAGGAUUAGAUACCCGAGUAGUC
Molecule: ribosomal RNA, 465 nt
Filed under: uncultured bacterium
Lineage: Bacteria
Description: partial 16S ribosomal RNA
Rfam family: Bacterial small subunit ribosomal RNA
Source: RNAcentral